RNAcentral lists this ribosomal RNA (465 nucleotides) under uncultured bacterium. RNAcentral's name for it is "partial 16S ribosomal RNA". It matches the Rfam family "Bacterial small subunit ribosomal RNA", at positions 338 to 795 of the family's 1533-position model. The record is from RNAcentral.
CCUACGGGUGGCAGCAGUCGAGAAUCAUUCACAAUGGGGGAAACCCUGACGCAGCGACGCCGCGUGCGGGAUGAAGGUCUUCGGAUCGUAAACCUCUGUCAGCAGGGAAGAACGGUCACUGUGCUAAUCAGCAGUGAAUUGACGGUACCUGCAAAGGCAGCACCGGCUAACUCCGUGACAGCAGCCGCGGUAAUACGGAGGGUGCGAGCGUUAAUCGGAAUUACUGGGCGUAAAGCGCUCGUAGGCGGUAUGUCAAGUCAAGGGUGAAAUCCCCGCGCUCAACGUGGGAACUGCCGUUGAAACUGGCAAACUGGAGUGUGUGAGAGGAUAGUGGAAUUCCAGGUGUAGGAGUGAAAUCCGUAGAUAUCUGGAGGAACAUCAGUGGCGAAGGCGACUAUCUGGCACAUAACUGACGCUGAGGAGCGAAAGCGUGGGUAGCAAACAGGAUUAGAUACCCCUGUAGUC